UGGGGAAUAUUGGACAAUGGGCGAAAGCCUGAUCCAGCCAUGCCGCGUGUGUGAAGAAGGUCUUCGGAUUGUAAAGCACUUUAAGUUGGGAGGAAGGGCAGUAAGCGAAUACCUUGCUGUUUUGACGUUACCGACAGAAUAAGCACCGGCUAACUCUGUGCCAGCAGCCGCGGUAAUACAGAGGGUGCAAGCGUUAAUCGGAAUUACUGGGCGUAAAGCGCGCGUAGGUGGUUCGUUAAGUUGAAUGUGAAAGCCCCGGGCUCAACCUGGGAACUGCAUCCGAAACUGGCGAGCUAGAGGAAGGCAGAGGGUGGUGGAAUUUCCUGUGUAGCGGUGAAAUGCGUAGAUAUAGGAAGGAACACCAGUGGCGAAGGCGACCACCUGGGCUCAUACUGACACUGAGGUGCGAAAGCGUGGGGAGCAAACAGG
Molecule: ribosomal RNA, 429 nt
Filed under: Pseudomonadota bacterium
Lineage: Bacteria; Pseudomonadati; Pseudomonadota
Description: Proteobacteria bacterium partial 16S ribosomal RNA
Rfam family: Bacterial small subunit ribosomal RNA
Source: RNAcentral